Molecule: ribosomal RNA, 253 nt
Filed under: uncultured bacterium
Lineage: Bacteria
Description: partial 16S ribosomal RNA
Rfam family: Bacterial small subunit ribosomal RNA
Source: RNAcentral
UCCUUAGGUACCCAUCUUUGUUCGGAUUUACUGGGCGUAAAGCGCGUGUAGGCGGUUGCCCAAGUCGGGUGUGAAAGCCUUGAGCUCAACUCAAGAAAUGCACUCGAUACUUGGUGACUAGAGGACCGGAGAGGAUAGUGGAAUUCCCAGUGUAGUGGUGAAAUACGUAGAGAUUGGGAAGAACACCAGUGGCGAAGGCGGCUAUCUGGACGGUUUCUGACGCUAAGACGCGAAAGCGUGGGGAGCAAACAGG